AAGAUGAAGCCCUGCUUUCAAGAUGGAGCCUGUUCUGUCUGUUUCCUCCUAUGCAAUCGGGUUACAGCCGUGAUUCAUACUCAGAAAGGUUCCACGUAUUUUUUCAGUCAACAAAAGUAAUUUCAAAUUCAGCAUUGCCUGGCCAAAGCAUAACUUGUAGAAGGCAUUUUCCUUACCAUCCUCACUUCUAAGCUUCACUGGUAAACAGAUGUUUCACUGAGAGUCUCAUAACAACGGUAACCCCAAAUCACAGCACAGCAUGGUGAUAUGCUACAUGAAAUAAGAACAUGUGUCCUUCCAUCCUUCAAAAUAUUUCUAAAGCAUCUCUUUUCCCUCCCUUGAAGCAGUUGGCCAUAUGCACAUUCAUGUCUGGAAGACUGGCAAAGGAAAAACUGUCUAUGCUUUCAAAGCCAUCCAAUUCCCUAGCCUGAUCCAGGAACGGAAGUGAAAGGACAGUGACAAAUCUUUGAGAUAAUAGCAGCGGGCGGGAUCACGGAGGUGAAGAAUCUGUUAUCUGAUGUAAACUGCUCAUCCGUGUGAGGUGAAUGAACUCUUUAAGGGGUGCCAUUUAGUUCAUGGGCAAAGAUAAUUUACUGAACACUACCCAGUGCCCGAGGCUGCGGAAUUCGUUCCAUUCUGCUAAGCAGGAUGCUCUAAAGAACUUGUUUAUUUCUCUCUGUUCAUCAGUUCAUUAAUAAGAAAUGACAAAUGAUUCAUUCACACUAUGUAUUGUAUAACUCUAAUAAUAGCCAGUCUGCAUUUCUAAUGC
Non-coding RNA from Odocoileus virginianus texanus, 769 nucleotides. The record is from RefSeq and is a predicted model, not a curated record. Lineage: Eukaryota; Metazoa; Chordata; Mammalia; Artiodactyla; Cervidae.